RNAcentral lists this long non-coding RNA (546 nucleotides) under Homo sapiens (human). RNAcentral's name for it is "testis expressed 41". Lineage: Eukaryota; Metazoa; Chordata; Mammalia; Primates; Hominidae. The record is from RNAcentral.
AUCUUGAAAACGGAAAAUAAAAACAGCAGACCUAUGAAGGUCGAAGGGGAAGAAAAGCUGUAUCGAUUGUUGAGAUCUGGCGACUUGUUUAAAUUUCAUCAGCCUCACUUCUAUGAACUCUCAGAGCUGAUUACCAACUCCUACCACUGUUAACCCUCAUCCAGGAACAAGCUUAUGUCUUUAACAUUCUGAGUGGGCUUCAGCAUCCUUGCAUAUGUUCAAUUCUUAAAAACCUGUUGAAAUAAAAGAUCAGGAGACAUAGGAAGGAUGCCAGAAGAGAGCGUGGCCUCACGUGUACCAGCUCUCUGCUCUCCUUUGCCUUGGGACGUUCCAUCCCUGGAAGUUUCCCUGCCCACAUCUUUGUAGAGAGUCCAUUCUCCAAGCUUCAGUGUGUCAUCUGUGAGGACCGUGACCCACCUGGUACAUCGCCUCAGGGCAUUCAUUUCAGGCUCCUUCUAAAUGGCCAAGGUUUGUAUGGAUUUUAAUCCCUAUUGCUGGUGCACUUCACUUGGGCUUGGAAGCUUUUUUCCCAUUUUCGUAGUAAUG